GUAAGCAGAACUGGUGCUGCGGGAUGAACCGAACGCAUUGUUAAGGCGCCCAAAUAAACGACGCAUCAUCGAUACCAUGAGAGGUGUUGAUUGCUGAAGACAGCAGGACGGUGGACAUGGAAGUCGUCAUC
RNAcentral lists this non-coding RNA (131 nucleotides) under Clunio marinus. RNAcentral's name for it is "Eukaryotic large subunit ribosomal RNA". It matches the Rfam family "Eukaryotic large subunit ribosomal RNA", at positions 1140 to 1268 of the family's 3401-position model. Lineage: Eukaryota; Metazoa; Arthropoda; Insecta; Diptera; Chironomidae. The record is from Rfam by way of RNAcentral.